UACGUAGGGUGCGAGCGUUAAUCGGAAUUACUGGGCGUAAAGCGUGCGCAGGCGGUGACGUAAGACAGGUGUGAAAUCCCCGGGCUUAACCUGGGAACUGCAUUUGUGACUGCAUUGCUGGAGUGCGGCAGAGGGGGAUGGAAUUCCGCGUGUAGCAGUGAAAUGCGUAGAUAUGCGGAGGAACAUCGAUGGCGAAGGCAAUCCCCUGGGCCUGCACUGACGCUCAUGCACGAAAGCGUGGGGAGCAAACAGG
This 253-nucleotide ribosomal RNA is filed under the name uncultured bacterium. RNAcentral describes it as "partial 16S ribosomal RNA". It matches the Rfam family "Bacterial small subunit ribosomal RNA", at positions 524 to 776 of the family's 1533-position model. The record is from RNAcentral.